This 253-nucleotide ribosomal RNA is filed under the name uncultured bacterium. RNAcentral describes it as "partial 16S ribosomal RNA". It matches the Rfam family "Bacterial small subunit ribosomal RNA", at positions 524 to 776 of the family's 1533-position model. The record is from RNAcentral.
UACGGGGGGGGCAAGCGUUGUUCGGAAUUACUGGGCGUAAAGGGCUCGUAGGCGGCCAACUAAGUCAGACGUGAAAUCCCUCGGCUUAGCCGGGGAACUGCGUCUGAUACUGGAUGGCUUGAGGUUGGGAGAGGGAUGCGGAAUUCCAGGUGUAGCGGUGAAAUGCGUAGAUAUCUGGAGGAACACCGGUGGCGAAGGCGGCAUCCUGGACCAAUUCUGACGCUGAGGAGCGAAAGCCAGGGGAGCAAACGGG